UACGAAGGGGGCUAGCGUUGUUCGGAAUCACUGGGCGUAAAGCGCACGUAGGCGGAUUGUUAAGUCGGGGGUGAAAUCCUGAGGCUCAACCUCAGAACUGCCUUCGAUACUGGCAAUCUCGAGUCCGGAAGAGGUUGGUGGAACAGCUAGUGUAGAGGUGAAAUUCGUAGAUACUAGCUAGAACACCAGUGGCGAAGGCGGCCAACUGGUCCGGUACUGACGCUGAGGUGCGAAAGCGUGGGGAGCAAACAGG
RNAcentral lists this ribosomal RNA (253 nucleotides) under uncultured bacterium. RNAcentral's name for it is "partial 16S ribosomal RNA". It matches the Rfam family "Bacterial small subunit ribosomal RNA", at positions 524 to 776 of the family's 1533-position model. The record is from RNAcentral.